This 468-nucleotide ribosomal RNA is filed under the name uncultured bacterium. Its description in RNAcentral is "partial 16S ribosomal RNA". It matches the Rfam family "Bacterial small subunit ribosomal RNA", at positions 28 to 507 of the family's 1533-position model. The record is from RNAcentral.
GACGAACGCUGGCGGCGUGCUUAACACAUGCAAGUCGAACGGAAAGGCCCUGCUUUUGUGGGGUGCUCGAGUGGCGAACGGGUAAGUCACACGUGAGUAACCUGCCCUUGACUUUAGGAUAACUUCAGUAAACUUGAUCUCAUACCGGAUAUACGCUCCUGCGUCAUGGUCGUGGUUGGAAAGUGUCGGCGGUUGGGGAUGUGUUCGCGUCUUAUCAGCUUGUUGGUGGGGUAGUGGCUUACCAAGGCUUUGACGGGUAGCCGGCCUGAGAGGGUGACCGGCCACAUUGGGACUGAGGUACGGCCCAGACUCCUACGGGAGGCAGCAGUGGGGAAUAUUGCACAAUGGGCGGAAGCCUGAUGCAGCAACGCCGCGUGCGGGAUGACGGCCUUCGGGUUGUAAACCGCUUUCGCAUGUGACGAAGCGUGAGUGACGGUAAUGGGUAAAGAAGCACCGGCUAACUACGUG